AGCUACAUCCGUCACCUGACACGGCCCUACCAGGAACAGCCGCGCUCCCGCGGAUUCUGGUGCUGCUCGCGUCCCCGCUCCCCUAUUCCCCUUAUUUUAUUCCUGGCUCCCCUCGUCGAAAGUCUUCCAUUCUUCAAACUAGAUUAUUUAAAAAUGAAAAAGGAAGAAAGGAAAGCGAGGUCAUCUCAUUGCUCUAUCCGCCAAUCAGGAGGCUGAAUGUCAGUUUUGAACUAAAAGCCGCUCCGCUCCUCUUCUAGAUUUGGAAAACAAGCGAAAUUAAACUAAACCGCUGCACGCCUCUGACGCGACAUCUGGACACGGCGCGGCGCUGGCGCUGCCGGAGCUGUCGACCCGGCCUGGCGCCGGACUAGUGUCCCUUUUGAUGAGAAGAAUAAGCCUCAUUCUGAUUCAACAGCAGAGAUCAAAGAAAAGACUUCUGUUUUCUGGCCACCAGAUAUAUGUUAUCUGUGCUUAAAGAAUUGAAAAACACACAUCAAAGGAGAAUUUUCUUGGAAAGAGAGGGUUCAAGCAUCACUGUUAGGUGUGCUGGAAUCCUUUCCCGAGUCAGUACUGCUUUCUAGAAGAAAACCGGGGAGAUCUAUUUGGAAUGUAUCUAACUCCAAAGAAACCAUCAGAGGUAACAGGUUAGGAAAUUGAAAUACAGAAAGAUGAAAAGUGAUUUGCCCAAGCAUAUAGAUCAAAGCUGUGGCAGAACCAGGACUGGAACCUAUAUCUCUCUACUAAUGGUUUUUUUAAAAAAAUAACCUUGUUUCAAAAAUAUUAAAAAGUCACAAGAAAGGUAAACAUGUGGAUAAACAAAAUGAAGAAAAUAAAAAUUAUCCAGUAAUAACAUAUUGGCAUAUGUCUUUCUGGUAUAUUUUCCUGUGUUGUCAUCAUUAUCAUCUCCAUCAUCAUUAUAUCCAUCAUUAUCAUCAUCAUCAUCAUCAUCAUCAUCAUUAUCAUCACCAUAGUGAACAUGUAAUGCUUACCUAGUGCCAGAUGCUGUCUAGGCAUUUUACAUGUGUUACUGGUAACUCAUGUAAUCCUCAUAACAACCUUAUAAGGUGGUUGCUAUUAUCCCCAUGUUACAUAUGAAGAGACAGAAGCAUAAAGAAGUUGCACCGCUGGUAAUUGGCUGGGAUUUGAACUUAAGCAGUCUAACCUUAGAGUAAUGAUUUUAACAACUAUGCUAUAUACAUACAAAUUUACAAAAUAAAACUGGGCUCAGACAAUAAAAAAAAAAAAAAAAAAAAAAAAA
RNAcentral lists this long non-coding RNA (1258 nucleotides) under Homo sapiens (human). Its description in RNAcentral is "CDKN2B and CDKN2A antisense cis and trans regulatory RNA 1, transcript variant 14 (CDKN2B-AS1)". The stretch from base 379 to 522 matches the Rfam family "CDKN2B antisense RNA 1 convserved region 3". The record is from RNAcentral. Lineage: Eukaryota; Metazoa; Chordata; Mammalia; Primates; Hominidae.